CGAAGCGUGCGAUUGGAUUGCACGUCUAAGCAGUAAGGCUGAGUAUUAGGCAAAUCCGGUACUCAUUAAGGCUGAGCUGUGAUGGGGAGAAGACAUUGUGUCUUCGAGUCGUUGAUUUCACACUGCCGAGAAAAGCCUCUAGAUAGAAAAUAGGUGCCCGUACCGCAAACCGACACAGGUAGUCAAGAUGAGAAUUCUAAGGUGAGCGAGCGAACUCUCGUUAAGGAACUCGGCAAAAUGACCCCGUAACUUCGGGAGAAGGGGUGCUCUUUAGGGUUAACGCCCAGAAGAGCCGCAGUGAAUAGGCCCAAGCGACUGUUUAUCAAAAACACAGGUCUCUGCUAAACCGUAAGGUGAUGUAUAGGGGCUGACGCCUGCCCGGUGCUGGAAGGUUAAGAGGAGUGGUUAGCUUCUGCGAAGCUACGAAUCGAAGCCCCAGUAAACGGCGGCCGUAACUAUAACGGUCCUAAGGUAGCGAAAUUCCUUGUCGGGUAAGUUCCGACCCGCACGAAAGGCGUAACGAUUUGGGCACUGUCUCAACGAGAGACUCGGUGAAAUCAUAGUACCUGUGAAGAUGCAGGUUACCCGCGACAGGACGGAAAG
Molecule: ribosomal RNA, 603 nt
Filed under: Staphylococcus aureus
Lineage: Bacteria; Bacillati; Bacillota; Bacilli; Caryophanales; Staphylococcaceae
Description: partial 23S ribosomal RNA
Rfam family: Bacterial large subunit ribosomal RNA
Source: RNAcentral